UACGUAGGGUGCAAGCGUUAAUCGGAAUUACUGGGCGUAAAGCGUGCGCAGGCGGUUUCGUAAGUCUGACGUGAAAUCCCCGGGCUUAACCUGGGAAUGGCGUUGGAGACUGCGAGGCUAGAGUUUGGCAGAGGGGGGUAGAAUUCCACGUGUAGCAGUGAAAUGCGUAGAGAUGUGGAGGAACACCGAUGGCGAAGGCAGCCCCCUGGGUCAAAACUGACGCUCAUGCACGAAAGCGUGGGGAGCAAACAGG
Molecule: ribosomal RNA, 253 nt
Filed under: uncultured Duganella sp.
Lineage: Bacteria; Pseudomonadati; Pseudomonadota; Betaproteobacteria; Burkholderiales; Oxalobacteraceae
Description: partial 16S ribosomal RNA
Rfam family: Bacterial small subunit ribosomal RNA
Source: RNAcentral